Molecule: unclassified non-coding RNA, 437 nt
Filed under: Hevea brasiliensis (rubber tree)
Lineage: Eukaryota; Viridiplantae; Streptophyta; Magnoliopsida; Malpighiales; Euphorbiaceae
Source: RNAcentral
GUGUCCCACAGCACUAUAGCCCACCAAUGACUCUGAAUGCCAUCCCACACUCUCAGGCCAUAGCUGGACCAAGUGUAAGCACAGCUCUUGCUGCUCCAACUGUUGCUGCUUUGGCACCACAUUAUCCUUCUCAGACAAAUUCUCUACGCCCCAUCAGUAGCGUUUGAGCUAUUCUGACUUAAACAUCUUGACUACUGAUCUUGGUUCCUCUCUUCUCCGUCUCAACUCCAUAUAGCUGGCUAGGGACUCCUUACAAUUCUCUCCUCUACGUAUAUGGACCCAUGGCAAAAUCUUAUUUCAGUCUUUAACCAUCUGUUGAGAGGGGAUAUUUAAGUAUUUAAUUAGCCAUUUUUGGAUAAUAUCUCCAUCACAUGAAGCAAUUUGUCUAAGAUGGGUUAGAUUAGUUAGACGAUACAUAGAAACAAGUUCAUAGAAUG